This 623-nucleotide ribosomal RNA is filed under the name uncultured fungus. RNAcentral describes it as "eukaryotic LSU rRNA". It matches the Rfam family "Eukaryotic large subunit ribosomal RNA", at positions 24 to 664 of the family's 3401-position model. Lineage: Eukaryota; Fungi. The record is from RNAcentral.
CCCGCUGAACUUAAGCAUAUCAAUAAGCGGAGGAAAAGAAACUAACAAGGAUUCCCCUAGUAACGGCGAGUGAAGCGGGAAGAGCUCAAAUUUAAAAUCUGGUUUGCUUGCAAAUCCGAGUUGUAGUCUGAAGAAACGUUUUCCAUGAAAGCUGAGGCACAAGUCCUUUGGAACAGGGCAUCAUAGAGGGUGAGAAUCCCGUCCAUGGCCUCAAGUCUUUUAUUUUGUGAUACGUUUUCUAAGAGUCAGGUUGUUUGGGAAUGCAGCCUAAAAUGGGUGGUAAAUUUCAUCUAAAGCUAAAUAUUGGCGAGAGACCGAUAGCGAACAAGUACCGUGAGGGAAAGAUGAAAAGAACUUUGAAAAGAGGGUUAAAUAGCACGUGAAAUUGUUGAAAGGGAAGCGUUUAUGACCAGACUUUUUCUAGGCGGAUCAUCCGGUGUUCUCACCGGUGCACUUUGCCUAGUUGAGGCCAGCAUCGGUUUCUAUAGAGGGAUAAAAACAGUGGGAAUGUGGCUCCUCCGGGAGUGUUAUAGCCCAUUGUAUAAUACCUUUACGGGGACCGAGGUUCGCGCUCUGCAAGGAUGCUGGCGUAAUGGUCAUCAACGACCCGUCUUGAAACACGG